GCCCGGUUAGUUCAACCGCAGAAUCUCUGGCCUACACCCAGAAGACGAGGGUGCGACUCCUUCACCGGGCACCA
Molecule: transfer RNA, 74 nt
Filed under: Acidobacteriota bacterium
Lineage: Bacteria; Pseudomonadati; Acidobacteriota
Also listed under: 1 other name
Description: Acidobacteria bacterium tRNA-Val
Rfam family: tRNA
About the family: Transfer RNA (tRNA) molecules are approximately 80 nucleotides in length. Their secondary structure includes four short double-helical elements and three loops (D, anti-codon, and T loops). Further hydrogen bonds mediate the characteristic L-shaped molecular structure. tRNAs have two regions of fundamental functional importance: the anti-codon, which is responsible for specific mRNA codon recognition, and the 3' end, to which the tRNAs corresponding amino acid is attached (by aminoacyl-tRNA synthetases). tRNAs cope with the degeneracy of the genetic code in two manners: having more than one tRNA (with a specific anti-codon) for a particular amino acid; and 'wobble' base-pairing, i.e. permitting non-standard base-pairing at the 3rd anti-codon position.
Source: RNAcentral